GAACUAGUACCGUGAGGGAAAGGUGAAAAGAACCCUAAGUAAGGGAGUGAAAGAGAACCUGAAACCGUACGCCUACAAGCGGUCGGAGCACAUUUACUGUGUGACGGCGUGCCUUUUGCAUAAUGAGCCUACGAGUUACUGUUUCUAGCAAGGUUAAAUGUUUAAGACAUGGAUCCGUAGCGAAAGCGAGUCUGAAUAGGGCGCAUAGUUAGUAGUAGUAGACGCGAAACCGAGUGAUCUACCCAUGGGCAGGUUGAAGCUGUGGUAACACACAGUGGAGGACCGAACCAGUUGACGUUGAAAAGUCUUCGGAUGACCUGUGGGUAGGGGUGAAAGGCCAAUCAAACUCGGAAAUAGCUCGUACUCCCCGAAAUGCAUUUAGGUGCAGCGUUGAGCGAAAGUUUUAUAGAGGUAGAGCUACUGAUUGGAUGCGGGGGCUUCACCGCCUACCAAUUCCUGACAAACUCCGAAUGCUAUAAAAUGUUAAUCAGCAGUGAGGGCAUGGGUGCUAAGGUCCAUGUCCGAGAGGGAAAGAACCCAGACCAUCAGCUAAGGUCCCUAAAUAUAUGUUAAGUUGAAUAAACGAGGUGAAACUGCUUAGACAGCUAGGAUGUUGGCUUGGAAGCAGCCAUUCAUUUAAAGAGUGCGUAACAGCUCACUAGUCGAGCGGUUUUGCAUGGAUAAUAAUCGGGCAUAAACAUAUUACCGAAGCUAUGGAUUUGUAUUAUAUACAAGUGGUAGGGGAGCAUUGUAACCUGCGUAGAAGGUGUGCUGUAAGGCAUGCUGGAGUGGUUACAAAAGAAAAUGUAGGCAUAAGUAACGAUAAAGGGGGCGAGAAACCCCCUCACCGAAAGACUAAGGUUUCCUCAGCGAUGCUAAUC
This 881-nucleotide ribosomal RNA is filed under the name Ctenophora environmental sample. RNAcentral describes it as "partial Bacterial large subunit ribosomal RNA". It matches the Rfam family "Bacterial large subunit ribosomal RNA", at positions 492 to 1370 of the family's 2925-position model. Lineage: Eukaryota; Metazoa; Ctenophora. The record is from RNAcentral.